This is a long non-coding RNA of Acinonyx jubatus (cheetah), 3191 nucleotides long. RefSeq lists it as uncharacterized. The transcript has 6 exons. The record is from RefSeq and is a predicted model, not a curated record. Lineage: Eukaryota; Metazoa; Chordata; Mammalia; Carnivora; Felidae.
GCUGACUGGCUGAGCCGUUUGGGUUCUCAUUGGCUGAGGUCCGGAAGUGCGGGACCUUGGCAAAGCGUUUGUCCAACCUAACUGGUUGUGGGGGCCGGGUUCUUGGGCAGAUAGGGGACCUAUGCGCAGUUGGGGGCUAUGAAAGCCUAGGCCGUUGUCAUUUCUUCUCCCCCUACACUGUCUUCUGUUUCCUCCCAUCCGUUUUUUGACGCUUGCCAGAGCUCAAAGACGUGGCGACAUAGUCUGAGUAAUAGCUGAGAAUGAAGCCGGCUUCUCGUGUUCCUCACUCUUUAGAAAAGUGAAGACUGUGGACAACCUUGCUUCUUGCACAUGACAAAACAGACCAGAUUCUCCGUCUGUUUAUGGUUUUCAAAGCUCCACGUCCUCAAAUUCCAGACGCCAGACGUCAACACCAGCUCCCCUCUUUCUUCCAUUCAAGUUAGCUCAGUGGUUCUCAAAUUUCAGCAUCCGAAUCACCUGGAUGCUGUUGAAACACAUUUCUGGGUCCCACCCACAGAACUUCUGAUUCUGUGCACCUGGAUGAGGCCCAAAAGUUUUCAGUUCCAUCAUGUUACCAAGUGAUGUGGAUGUUACUAAUCAGCGGCCAUGCUUUGCUUUAUAUAGAAGGGCUGUGCCUCUCUUUAAUCUCAGGAGUUUGGAAUGAAUAUCUCUUAUUUGUUGGCUUCAAAAUUUCAUAUGCAUACUUUCAAGUUUAUUAACUGACAUGUUUGAAUCUUCCAGACCUUCUUUUUAUGUUGCUUCGUCCUGAUUGCUCUGCCAGUUCUUGAGAAAGGUUACCAGCUCAGGGAAUGGACUGUCCUGGAGACAGAAGCUGGAGUCUGGGAGCCUCAAGACCAAUGCACCCCAUCUCUCUGGAAAGUCUGGGAGAGGACACGAUCAUUCUAGCACCAGUUUACGAGUAUGCAAUUUCACGAAAAUAAUUUAGGAGAUUUCAUGAAACUGGUAUCUUUUUAGCAAAAUUCAAACGACAUGGCCUCAAACACAGAGAGAAAAUUACAAUAAAACAAUCUUUAAGGAAGAAAUUGAAAACUUUGCAAAAGAUGCCGAACGUCCAAUCCCUCAAAAAGCUAAGUCAAGGUUUUUUAAAAAAACUGACGAACGUGUGGGUGACGGCUGUUAAUCUUGGAAUAUCAGAGGACAAGAGUACAUCCUCAAGGAAGAUUGGUGUCUUGUUUCGAUAAGUAAAUACAAAUUUGUUAAAAUUUUAAGGGUAAAUAGGAAAGAAACAGAAACAGGUGGUGAGGCCUUCAACCCACUGAGAUGGGGAGGAAAAGAAUCCAUAAAAUGUGUUCCAUCCAGCAAACUUCGGAAAUGGAGGGGGAAGGAGGAAACAAGGACCUCGUCAAGUUUCCUCAAGUUGGGUGUCAUUUCUCCCGUUUGGCACUGGGAUGUGCGACCCUGGAGGUUGCUCUACGUGAGGCUUGAGAAUGGAAGCAGACUCCAGCCUGAGUUCUUUUCAGGAAGAAGAUCCACCCUUUCUGCAGCUUGUCCAAGACGGUGAGACACGGGAGCUCCCUCGCUCUGCCCUUGCCUGUGUGUUCUUCUCGGCAAUAAUGUCGUCCCAUGUGCGAUGGGGUGGCUCUGUGUCCCAUCCCAUGGGAUGACUCAAGUAAAAUGAAAGCCACGAGCACUUCAUUCCUGUUUUUGAGAGUCCUUCUUUGUCACCUCAGCUAACAAAUAGGCUUAGUGCCUUUUUUAAAGAGCCCUGUGCUGCUGUGUCAUCAAUAUAAUUGGUCCUUGUGGGGUGGGCUCAGGAGGAAGAGAACAAACUGUUUUGCCCACCAUAGUCCCUUAGCUAACUGGGCUUCAUCUGUGCCAAGGUCUUUUAUCCUACAUGGGGGUUGUUUCUUACUGGCUUAUUUAAUCCUAAAGUCUAGUCGGAGAAACAGGAGCCUAUUCAUAUUGGGUCAACUACUUUAUAUUGCUAAAUGUGGUAAAUUUAGUAACACCAGGGGGGAAAUGUUCUACUUGCUGAGGCUGAGCAAUGCAAGAUUGUUACUUUUGUUUCCUUUCCAGAGCCCUUGCAGGGCAGAAACACUGAUCCUGCCUCUUCUCACCUUAUCUCCCAGUGUGACGCAAUCAUAGAGUGUCUAAAGAAGUUUCCAAGAGGUUCUUUGUUUUGCUUUGACAGUUUCCAACAUAACCUGUGCUAAGCACAAACACUGACCAGUAUGCAUCAGAGUCACGGCAGGAUAAGCGUCCUAGUUGGGGUUCCCCCCCCCCCCACCAAAAAGCCCCAGAGAGUUCAAGCAAUAUAUUUGGUGAUCCCAAGAGACAUGGGCAAGAGAGCAGAGAAGUGAGACAGGGAAAGAAAGACGGCCAAUGAAGGCUGUUUUAUCAAGGAAGAAUGACUGGAGCUUCAUCACAUGGAGGAAGUCUGGGAGCCCGCAUAAAAUGUGCGUUGUCCUAAGGUGCUAAGGAUCAGAGACUUCUGGGACCAGGUCCCCCAGAGCUUCCAGGCCACUAUACUGAGGAGGGCAGCCUUCAGUGGUCAGAAGAGGCAGUCUGCAAAGGACGUGCAGGUGCUGGCAGUUGGACACUGGCUGCACUAACCGGUGAGGCCACAGGACAUUUGGGCAGAGUACCAAGUGUGUCCCUCACAUCACGUUUUCUCAAUUAAGUUAAUUCAGAUGUCAUAACACAGUGCAAUGGUGAUGCCUAUUCCUUGCCUGAUGGUGAGCAUCUUUCCUCUCUAACAGACCCCGAGUCUCUAUAGUCACAUGACUCGGCUGAGCCAAUGGUAUGACCUCAUGCUUCCUGGUGAAGCCCAAAGGGAGCUUCACAUAAGCUUAUAAUUUGAACUGAUAAAGCAAUUUUUUUCUUUAUAAUUUUCAAAAGGACACAAAAUAAAUGAAAUGAAAAAACACAUUUUGUGUAUGUGCCCAUUUGUCAGACCCCCUGUGGCAGAAAACGCUAGCUGAGCACCAAAAUCUAUUCUCCCCUUCUUCCUGGUUGCCCAGCUAGACUACAUUUCCCAGCCUCCCCGCAGUGUCGGUAGCAUGUAACUAAGACCUGUAGCCAGUGAAAUUUGAGUGGUGGUGAUACACGUGUUCCUGCCAGGCCUGGCUCAUGGGACCUCCCCUACAGGCACCUCUAUGCUCUUUCCCCGAGCCCUUCACUGAGUUGUUGGUCUUGCCCAGGAUGACCCAAGAUGGCAGAGCCACAGUUGG